CCUACGGGAGGCAGCAGUGGGGAAUAUUGCACAAUGGGCGAAAGCCUGAUGCAGCAACGCCGCGUGAGCGAUGAAGGCCUUCUGGUCGUAAAGCCCUGUCCUCCAGGAAGAUACUGACGGUACUUGAGGAGGAAGCCCCGGCUAACUACGUGCCAGCAGCCGCGGUAAUAAGUAGGGGGCUAGCGUUAUCCGGAAGUACUGGGCGUAAAGGGUGCGUAGGUGGUUUCUUAAGUCAGAGGUGAAAGGCGACGGCUCAACCGUAGUAAGCCUUUGAAACUGGGGAACUUGAGUGCAGGAGAGGUAGGUGGAAUUCGUGGUGUAGCGGUGAAAUGCGUAGAUAUUAGGAGGAACACCAAUUGCGAAGGCGGCUCUCUGGACUGUAACUGACACUGAGGCACGAAAGCGUGGGGAGCAAACAGGAUUAGAUACCCUAGUAGUC
Molecule: ribosomal RNA, 439 nt
Filed under: uncultured bacterium
Lineage: Bacteria
Description: partial 16S ribosomal RNA
Rfam family: Bacterial small subunit ribosomal RNA
Source: RNAcentral